RNAcentral lists this ribosomal RNA (253 nucleotides) under uncultured bacterium. RNAcentral's name for it is "partial 16S ribosomal RNA". It matches the Rfam family "Bacterial small subunit ribosomal RNA", at positions 524 to 776 of the family's 1533-position model. The record is from RNAcentral.
UACAGAGGGGGCAAGCGUUGUUCGGAAUUACUGGGCGUAAAGGGCGCGUAGGCGGCCUGUUAAGUCGAACGUGAAAUCCCCGGGCUCAACUCGGGAACUGCGUCCGAUACUGGCAGGCUUGAAUCCGGGAGAGGGAUGCGGAAUUCCAGGUGUAGCGGUGAAAUGCGUAGAUAUCUGGAGGAACACCGGUGGCGAAGGCGGCAUCCUGGACCGGCAUUGACGCUGAGGCGCGAAAGCCAGGGGAGCAAACGGG